GUCAUGGCCUGAAGACAUUUUUUUGGUAGCACUCCUCCUGAACCCUUGGCUCUUACAUUCUUUCUGUUUCUAAUUCUGUGAUGUUCCUUCGGUCUAGGUGGCAGGAGGUGAUACAGAUGUCCCUUUAAGACUGAACACUCUCCAUUUAGCUAAACAGUAGUAGCGGGUUCUCCUUUAGGGCCUAUAAGCUCCCCAGACACAGGUUCCUGGAAAGAUUUAUAGUAUAAUUUCUGCGGCAUGGGCCCUUAGACAGUAGAAAAAAAUAGUUAGGCUGAGAUGAUUAAAAUAAAGGAUUGAGGUAUAAAUGAGCAUGUUGUGUUUAUUCUGGCUCCAAUAAAUAUGACAUGUACGGAAUAGCAACAGUCUAUAACAGUAUGGAACUUAAAAUAUUUAAUGCUUUCAGUCACUCCUUAAAGAUAUGUGUGUUUGAGGGAGAAUGUAGAAACUACUAGGGCAGUCUGGGGCGAUGGCUCAGUGGCUAAAGCACUUGCCGUUAGAGCUUGAGGUUCUGAGUUUGAGUCCUCGGAACUCAUGUAAAACAGGACACAGAGGCACACAUCUGUCAUCCCAGCACUCCUGCCCUGAGAAGGGACGUAGGGUCAGGAGAAUCCAUAAAACUGUGGGCCAGUUAGCUGGUGUCCACUGCUGCAUACCUCAAGGGACACAGUCUCAAAGAACAUAGAAGGUAAGGACUGAUGAUACCUGAGGGUGUUGUCCAACCUCAACACAUAUGGAUGCCAAUCUACACACACACACACACACACACACACACAUACACACACACACACAUCAGUCAUACAUAGCAAUUUAAAAAAUAAUAGUUUGUAUAUAAUUUAGUAUGUUAUAAUUUUUAUCAUAUGAACUGUAUCUAAAACAGUAGAAACCUGAAAUUUUUUUUUAUAACACAAAGAUUCUGUUGAAAGCUAAGUAUAUGUAAGGUCAUGUUUUGUGGAUGAUAUUACCAAGAGAUUGAAAAACUUAAUGUGAAGCUUUGAAUGUGUCUUUCUUUUUCUUUAUUCUUUCGUUCAUUUCUCUCUCUCCCUCUCCCUUUCUCCCCCUCCCUGAACAGAAGCCUUCCCUAUGUCUCUCUUUAGUUUUCAUUCUCUCUUCACACAGGGCAGAAUGUGCAAUUGUGAUUAGCCAGGAAACACUUUAAGACACCCAAGAAACUGAAGAGAGCAAGCAUAUUUAUCAUUUAAAAAGAUGAAAUACACAAGAAUAAAAAUCUUUAUUUUCUAGUUGUUUCAAAUGAGAACCAAAAGAGAUGAGAAAAAGAAUAAUAAGAUUAUAUUUUGGUUUUGUUCUCAAAAAUAACAUAUUCUUCAUGAGGAUAAAUAAUGUGUUUUAGAUAGACUGCUCCUAAGCGUCCUAAAGAAACAUGUUAGGCCUUAUGAAAUUCUUUUAAAAUAGUAAGUGAUUUCCAUACGGAAUAAUGCACCUUUUAAAAUUUCAGGGGUAUUUUCAUACCUCCUUGUAGCCUUCUUUGGCCUGGUAAGAUGGCUUUGUCCAAACCUUUAGAUGAUAAUUGGAAAAGGAAGAGUGUUGUUAAAAGAAUGUUAUUUUUCAACAGUUUACCAGACAAUGUUUAUAUAAGUAAGAAGAAUAAGCUGAGAAGUGAGGAGAGCCUCGUGUGUCACACAAAAGCACAGCUCAGCUUCUCUUUCCUUUUAUGAAGUGGAGAAUUAAUCAGACGCCAUGGAAACAUGUCUGUAUUACAUAAAGCCCUUAGAUACUUGGAACAGAACAAACAUAUUUAAGAAUUUUUUUUUCUUUAAAAUUGCACCACACUUGCAGUGAUGGCAAAUCCAUUUAAGUGACUCAGGUCACAACAGCUCACAGUAGAUCUCAGCCCGGAGAAGUAGAUCACAGCCGAUUCUAUGCUUUAUCAAAGGUCUUAGUUUUAUAAAAAACUUAUAGAUAAUAAAACAUAAUCAAGCAGCACUUUCAGAACCUGAAUGCGGUGAUUUUAAAAAGGUGCUUUUGUAACUAUUAAUCAUGUGAUGAAGUCUCUAUAAACUUAACAAUAACUGAUAUCAUAUCUUUCAGCCCAACCUGUCCCUCCCACUUUCCAGUCAUUCUGUGGCUUUCCCUUUUGUAUAGUAUUUGGACACUUACCAUGAGCCAGAUCUUAUGCUAAAUUCCAUAAAUAACUCUGUCUCUGUGUCUCUGUGUCUGUCUCUGUCUGUCUGUCUGUCUGUCUCGGUGUCUGUGUGUAAAGGAGACUCUCAUACACGUUAGGCAAGCAUUCUACUACUGUAUUUGGAGAACUUCAUUUCAUUUAAUACUUAAAAGCAAACCUGUGUAAUAAUAUUUUGUUUAUAAUUACAUUUGAGGAUAACAGCGGUGCUUGAAACAAAGAAUUUGAUCAAAAUAUGCUAUGUGUAUAAUCUCUUAUCUACCUACCUACCUACCUACCUACUUACCUAUCUCUAAAACUCAAUGUUGAACUGUUUCCAUAUAUACACAUUAGAUGGAAGAAUAAAUUUUAUUUUCCUCAAAGCUGUAGGAAUGUAGACAUUUCAUAUCUAAUGCUUGCAGUGACUUUCCUUUUGUGUGCUUAGAAUUCGCAUCAAAUCAUGCGUGGUUUAUUGCCAGAGCUCUGGAUGUGAACCAUAGCACAG
RNAcentral lists this long non-coding RNA (2621 nucleotides) under Mus musculus (house mouse). RNAcentral describes it as "long non-coding RNA chr2:14611216-14613837". The record is from RNAcentral. Lineage: Eukaryota; Metazoa; Chordata; Mammalia; Rodentia; Muridae.